Molecule: unclassified non-coding RNA, 292 nt
Filed under: air metagenome
Description: partial contains small subunit ribosomal RNA, internal transcribed spacer 1, and 5.8S ribosomal RNA
Rfam family: Eukaryotic small subunit ribosomal RNA (bases 1-46)
Source: RNAcentral
AAGUCGUAACAAGGUUUCCGUAGGUGAACCUGCGGAAGGAUCAUUAUUGAAUUUUAAAAUCCAACUUUUGCUUGUGCAUUUGCUUGCACGCUUGGUUGGCUCUUUUUAAAUUUCUUCUCACACACCUGUGCACCUUUCGAGUGCGCUGCGGGGCGUUUUUCGCCUGCAGCGGCGUGUCUCGCAUUUUUACACCUUUUUUGUAUGUCUUUUGAAUGUAAAUUUUGGUUGCUCUGUGAUGGAGUGACUGAUUUAAAAUUAAAUACAACUUUCAGCAACGGAUCUCUUGGCUCUC